Long non-coding RNA from Dermacentor andersoni, 854 nucleotides. RefSeq lists it as uncharacterized. Lineage: Eukaryota; Metazoa; Arthropoda; Arachnida; Ixodida; Ixodidae. The record is from RefSeq and is a predicted model, not a curated record.
UGAAAGGUGCCUUUCGCUUUUGCGCCACCCUUCUGAACUCUAGUAUGACUUGUUUGUAUCCUUUAACGGCUAAUUACCCAUUCAAAGCGUAAAUGGCUGUUGGUAAUUGUAAUUCGCGAAAUGGAGCAAGGUGUGAGCUCAUUACGUCGCAUUUAAUAAUAUCUCCAGCAGGUGAAGCUGUUUCUUAUCUAUAGAUUAGCAUUCCCGCUCAUUUUUUUGCUUAUGAAGUGAGGCUCCAGUUAACGCCUGUAAACAGCCAAUGAGCUCCAAUAGCGCUUCCGACAUCGCCUCUUCGAAGACGUAUUCCGUAAAAGCCUCUUUCAGCAGGACGGUCGAAGAAGCUGUGCGGGCGCGGACGCUAGCGGCCGAGUCAGUUAGCGUCUCCAGUAUCCGCCACUGGAUGGCGCUGCAUGUCCGGGAGCAGUGAUAGAACAGCGCAUGCACCGAUGAAAAAAUGAAGUGAAAAAUCAAGUAUGGCGAAAAAAAAACCAGUAAAGACGAAAUGAGCAGAAAAAGAAAAUAAAGAAAGAAUCGCUGGGCAAACUGAAUCAAAUGGAGGCAGAGAAACCUGUUUAGCGACGCCGACGGGUUGGCGACCCGCCUACGUUUUUCUGGAUUGGAGGCUUCCCGGAGACCGUGAUCGUCUUUGUGAAUCUAUCGGCGUGCAUCGAUGUGAUAUGUUUUGCCCGACGCCGAUUCUACGACUUGGAGGUUUUUUUAAACCUCUUCCUCAAAAGGACGUUCUCUGGUCGAAGUGGUGGAGUGAAAGCUCUGGCAAUCAAGAUUGCCGACCUGACGAAGAUCUCGAAAGAGGAAUCUGUAAAAAUACAUGUUGUGCUAAUAAAUGCUUCUAG